UACGUAGGUGGCAAGCGUUGUUCGGAAUCAUUGGGCGUAAAGCGCGUGUAGGCGGCUGGGUAAGUCUGAUGUGAAAGCCCGGGGCUCAACCCCGGAAGUGCAUUGGAUACUGCCCGGCUAGAGGGCGAGAGAGGGAAGUGGAAUUCCUGGUGUAGGGGUGAAAUCCGUAGAUAUCAGGAGGAACAUCAGUGGCGAAGGCGACUUCCUGGCUCGUUACUGACGCUGAGACGCGAAAGCGUGGGGAGCAAACAGG
Molecule: ribosomal RNA, 253 nt
Filed under: uncultured bacterium
Lineage: Bacteria
Description: partial 16S ribosomal RNA
Rfam family: Bacterial small subunit ribosomal RNA
Source: RNAcentral